GGCUACUUUGAUACCUUCCAGUUCAAAGAAUCUGCAGUUAUUAAAUUUGAGAAGAAGAAAUGAGCCUUCAAAAAAAGUCUGACAUAGUGCUGAACUGUACCAAAUCAUCUGAAGAGCAUGUAUGGGUGAAACUCCAAGGUGUCAUUGAGAUGUCCACGAAUCUCUCCCACAGCAGACAGAGUCUCAGAGCUGGAUGGGAUCUCAGAAGGUACAUUACUGCAACCAACACCUGAACAAUAGUCCCCUCUACUGCAUGCCAGUUAUGUGGUCAACCAAGCUCCAAUUGAAGAUCUUUAGGAAGGAGGAAUGCCUCAUUCCCCUCCGCCUCAACCCUUUCUUUUGGACACCUGUAACUUUUAGGAAAUUUUUUUAUAUUGAACCUGACUGUCUCUCUACAAUUUCCCUCCAUGGCUACUAGCUCUGCCCUGUGGGGCCAAGCAGACCAAUCCUUCCUCUCCAAUAAUCCUUUAAAUUCCUGAAGACAGUUAUCAUUUCCACAGCUUCCUUCCCCAUCCUCCUUUUCUCUAAGCUAAAUGUUAUAUUACCAAAUCCUUCAGCUGAUCUUUAUGUGACAAUUACUUGGCAUUUUAAUAUUCCUUUUGUGUAUUUAUCACAUUAUAGUUCACACUUAGUUACUAGACUAUAAAGCUUCAUGAGAGCAGCCACUGUAUCUUAUUGAGAGGCAGUGUGGGGUAGUGGGAGCAGGAGAUAUUGGUUUCUGUUUUGACUCUGAUCCUUACCAGUUUUAGGACAUUGGAUGAGAUGGGACACUUCACCUUUCUGAGCUUCAGUCUCCCCAUUUGCAAAAUUUGGGUAGGGAUGUUUGGACUACCAACUUAAUAGGAUUAUUGUAAGAAAAGGCACUUUGAAAAGCAAAAAGUACAAUAUAGGCACGAGCUCUCUCUGUCUCUCCUUCAGCCCCAGCAUGGUGUACUGUAUCACGUUUGCUGAAUUUGAAUGUGCUUGGUGAGAGAGGUUUACCUUCAGAACUUUUAGCUCUUCAGGAGCCCAGAGCUCCAUUGUAUUUGGCCAGCUUGUUUUAGGAUGUCCCCAUAAAGCCUGUCUGGUUCCGAAAGACCGUAGGGAAGGAAUCAUUGGUGUUAGCAACUGCUAACUCUUCAGAGGUUUGAAGUAAGAGUCCACACUUCUAAUUCAGACUCUACAGAUGCUGUUUAAAAAAAGCAACAGCAACAUUUUAAAGGGAGGAAAGCAUUGGCUUUGGAGAGGAAACAAAUGAUAACUCCCAGUUGUUUUCACCAGAAACACACGCACACAUCAGUCUGUCCUACCCUGGAUCUGAUCUCUCUGUUUAAUUUUAUGAACUACCUUUAAUGUAAUUUUAAACUUGAUUUUAAUUCUCUACUUAAUUAAAAAAACAAUCACACUUAA
Phascolarctos cinereus (koala) is the source of this 1389-nucleotide non-coding RNA. NCBI's taxonomy places the organism in Eukaryota, Metazoa, Chordata, Mammalia, Diprotodontia, Phascolarctidae. The record is from RefSeq and is a predicted model, not a curated record.